GAUGAACGCUGGCGGCGUGCCUAAUACAUGCAAGUCGAGCGAACGGACGAGAAGCUUGCUUCUCUGAUGUUAGCGGCGGACGGGUGAGUAACACGUGGAUAACCUACCUAUAAGACUGGGAUAACUUCGGGAAACCGGAGCUAAUACCGGAUAAUCUUUUGAACCGCAUGGUUCAAUAGUGAAAGACGGUCUUGGUGUCACUUAUCGAUGGAUCCCGGCUGCAUUAGCUAGUUGGUAAGGUAACGGCCUACCAAGGCAACGAUGCAUAACCGAACUGAUGGGGGGAUAGGCGACACUGGAACUGGGACACGGUCCAGGGUCCUGCGGUAGGCAGCAGUAGGGAAUCUGCCGCAGUGGGCGAAAGCCUGACGGAGCAGCGCGAAGUCAGUGAUAAAGGCCCUCGGUGCGUAAAACUCUGUUAUUAGGGAAGAACAUAUGUGGAAGGAGCUGUACAGAUCGUGACGGUACCUAAUCAGAAAGCCACGGCUAACUACGUG
This 497-nucleotide ribosomal RNA is filed under the name uncultured bacterium. Its description in RNAcentral is "partial 16S ribosomal RNA". It matches the Rfam family "Bacterial small subunit ribosomal RNA", at positions 28 to 507 of the family's 1533-position model. The record is from RNAcentral.